RNAcentral lists this unclassified non-coding RNA (25 nucleotides) under Mus musculus (house mouse). RNAcentral describes it as "oocyte_clustered_small_RNA292". Lineage: Eukaryota; Metazoa; Chordata; Mammalia; Rodentia; Muridae. The record is from RNAcentral.
CACAGGGACUUCCUGGUUGUUGACG